Cydia splendana is the source of this 552-nucleotide long non-coding RNA. RefSeq lists it as uncharacterized. The transcript has 2 exons. The record is from RefSeq and is a predicted model, not a curated record. Lineage: Eukaryota; Metazoa; Arthropoda; Insecta; Lepidoptera; Tortricidae.
CGGACAGCGAAGUCUUAGUAAUAGGGUCCCGUUUUACCUUUUGGGUACGGAACCCUAAAAACUACUUACUAGAUCUCGUUCAAACCAAUUUACGGUGGAAGUUUGCUUGGUAAUGUACAUCAUAUACUUAUUUUUUUUUAGUUUUAUCAUUCUCUUAUUUUAGAAGUUACAGGGAUGGGGGGGCACGCAUUUUACCACUUUGGAAGUGUCUCUCGUGCAAACUAUUCAGUUUAGAAAAAAAUUAUAUUAGAAACCUCAAUAUCAUUUUUAGGACCUAUCCAUAGAUACCCCACACGUAUGGGUUUGAUGAAAAAUAAUUUUUUUAGAGCUUCAGUUCUAAGUAUGGGGAACCCCCAAAAUUUAUUGUUUUUUUUUUUCUAUUUUUGUGUGAAAAUCUUAAUGCGUUUCACAGAAUACAUCUACUUACCAAGUUUCAACAGUAUAGUUCUUGUAGUUUCGGAAAAAAGUGGCUGUGACAUACGGACGGACAGACAGACAGACAUGACGAAUCCAUAAGGGUUCCGUUUUUUGCCAAUUGGCUACGGAACCCUA